This 288-nucleotide ribosomal RNA is filed under the name uncultured archaeon. RNAcentral describes it as "partial 16S ribosomal RNA". It matches the Rfam family "Archaeal small subunit ribosomal RNA", at positions 1 to 294 of the family's 1478-position model. The record is from RNAcentral.
UUCCGGUUGAUCCUGCCAGAGGUUACUGCUAUCGAGGUUCGACUAAGCCAUGCGAGUCGAAUGUAGCAAUACAUGGCGUACUGCUCAGUAACACGUGGACAACCUACCCUCCGGACGGGUAUAAACCCGGGAAACUGGGUAUAAUCCCCGAUAGAUCUCGGUCGCUGGAAAGCCCCGAGAUCGAAAGCUCCGGCGCCAGAGGAUGGGUCUGCGGCCUAUCAGGUAGUAGUGGGUGUAGCGUACCUACUAGCCUACGACGGGUACGGGUUGUGAGAGCAAGAGCCCGGA